ACCUUUUCAUCAUCUGAAACUUCUAGUUUGGCUCUCUCAUCCUGUCUUGCCUUUCCUGAUCUUCAGCAUAUUCGGGGACUCCCAUCUCCAGGUAACCUUCCUCUCCACUUCUUAGCGUUGCCGUUGCUAAAAUAUGAGCAAGGUUGUUCGCAGAUCUUAAUGUAUGUUGAAAACUGAUAUUUUUUAAGCCGAAAAUUUUCUUCUGAAUAUCAUAGAUGUAUGUUCCUACCAUUGAUCGAUCUUGUUCUUUUGUGUUGCAUCUUUUGAUGAUUGCGAGGGAAUCGCCUUCAAAAAUGAGUGAUUGCCAGCCCUUGUCAAUACCUAUUUUGACUGCUGUCCAGCAUGCUAUGGCUUCAGCAGCAAAAGGAGACGAAACACCAUCGUGAAUUUUUGAGUAAGAUAAAAGAACAUGUCCUUCUGAAUCUCGAACCACAAUGCCUGAAGCUGACCGAUUCUGGGUUUCUUUAUAUGCACCGUCAAAGUUUAUCUUGACAAACUCUCUCUGUG
RNAcentral lists this long non-coding RNA (507 nucleotides) under Gossypium raimondii (Peruvian cotton). RNAcentral's name for it is "long non-coding RNA (GRAI_LNC008911)". The record is from RNAcentral. Lineage: Eukaryota; Viridiplantae; Streptophyta; Magnoliopsida; Malvales; Malvaceae.